UGGGGAAUCUUGCACAAUGGGGGAAACCCUGAUGCAGCGACGCCGCGUGAGCGAUGAAGCCCUUCGGGGUGUAAAGCUCUUUCGGCAGGGAAGAAUACUGACGGUACCUGCAGAAGCAGCUGCGGCUAACUACGUGCCAGCAGCCGCGGUAAUACGUAGGCAGCAAGCGUUGUUCGGAGUUACUGGGCGUAAAGGGUGUGUAGGCGGUCUUCUAAGUUCGGUGUGAAAUCUCCCGGCUCAACUGGGAGGGUGCGCCGAAAACUGGGAGGCUAGAGUGCGGGAAGGGAGAGUGGAAUUCCUGGUGUAGCGGUGAAAUGCGUAGAUAUCAGGAGGAACACCGGCGGUGUAGACGGCUCUCUGGACCGUAACUGACGCUGAGACACGAAAGCGUGGGUAGCAAACAG
RNAcentral lists this ribosomal RNA (404 nucleotides) under uncultured bacterium. Its description in RNAcentral is "bacterial SSU rRNA". It matches the Rfam family "Bacterial small subunit ribosomal RNA", at positions 355 to 775 of the family's 1533-position model. The record is from RNAcentral.